ACGCUCGACACCUACUGGAGGCAGCAGUCGGGAAUAUUGCGCAAUGGAGGAAACUCUGACGCAGUGACGCCGCGUAUAGGAAGAAGGUUUUCGGAUUGUAAACUAUUGUCGUUAGGGAAGAAAAAGGACAGUACCUAAGGAGGAAGCUCCGGCUAACUACGUGCCAGCAGCCGCGGUAAUCUGAGCGGGCUGGCAAGGC
RNAcentral lists this ribosomal RNA (199 nucleotides) under uncultured bacterium. RNAcentral describes it as "partial 16S ribosomal RNA". It matches the Rfam family "Bacterial small subunit ribosomal RNA", at positions 328 to 539 of the family's 1533-position model. The record is from RNAcentral.